GAUGAACGCUGGCGGCGUGCCUAAUACAUGCAAGUAGAACGCUGAAGGAGGAGCUUGCUCUUCUGGAUGAGUUGCGAACGGGUGAGUAACGCGUAGGUAACCUGCCUGGUAGCGGGGGAUAACUAUUGGAAACGAUAGCUAAUACCGCAUGACAACAGUUAUUGCAUGAUAACUGUUUAAAAGGGGCAACUGCUCCACUACCAGAUGGACCUGCGUUGUAUUAGCUAGUUGGUGAGGUAACGGCUCACCAAGGCGACGAUACAUAGCCGACCUGAGAGGGUGAGCGGCCACACUGGGACUGAGACACGGCCCAGACUCCUGCGGGAGGCAGCAGUAGGGAAUCUUCGGCAAUGGACGGAAGUCUGACCGAGCAACGCCGCGUGAGUGAAGAAGGUUUUCGGAUCGUAAAGCUCUGUUGUAAGAGAAGAACGAGUGUGAGAGUGGAAAGUUCACACUGUGACGGUAUCUUACCAGAAAGGGACGGCUAACUACGUG
Molecule: ribosomal RNA, 495 nt
Filed under: uncultured bacterium
Lineage: Bacteria
Description: partial 16S ribosomal RNA
Rfam family: Bacterial small subunit ribosomal RNA
Source: RNAcentral